UACGUAGGGGGCAAGCGUUGUCCGGAUUUAUUGGGCGUAAAGAGCGUGUAGGCGGCUUCACAGGUCCGCUGUGAAAACUCGAGGCUCAACCUCGAGAUGUCGGUGGAAACCGUGUGGCUAGAGUCCGGAAGAGGAGAGUGGAAUUCCUGGUGUAGCGGUGAAAUGCGCAGAUAUCAGGAAGAACACCCGUGGCUAAGGCGGCUCUCUAGUACGGUACUGACGCUGAGACGCGAAAGCGUGGGGAGCGAACAGG
RNAcentral lists this ribosomal RNA (253 nucleotides) under uncultured bacterium. RNAcentral describes it as "partial 16S ribosomal RNA". It matches the Rfam family "Bacterial small subunit ribosomal RNA", at positions 524 to 776 of the family's 1533-position model. The record is from RNAcentral.